RNAcentral lists this transfer RNA (72 nucleotides) under Sus scrofa (pig). It matches the Rfam family "tRNA". Rfam says of the family: Transfer RNA (tRNA) molecules are approximately 80 nucleotides in length. Their secondary structure includes four short double-helical elements and three loops (D, anti-codon, and T loops). Lineage: Eukaryota; Metazoa; Chordata; Mammalia; Artiodactyla; Suidae. The record is from Rfam by way of RNAcentral.
UCCCUGGUGGUCUAGUGGUUAGGAUUUGGCACUUUCACCUCUGUAGCCCAGGUUCAAUCCCUGGUUUGGGAA